CUCCAUCUUCGCUAUGCUCUAAAGCAGCCAUAUACAUAAUCCCUCAAAAUCCGAAAAGAAAGCAGAAACAAAAACUAAGUCCUUUUUCCAGUGAAUUUCUAACCUGCAAAUGGCAGCGACCUAUUUCCACAACGCAAUACCCUAAUAAAAUAGUCAGCUUCAUCUGCAUGAAACCCACAACUCGAUUAUGUCCACUCUCCAUUCAAGUUCAAGAAAAUUAAGAUAAGAAAGAAAUAAACAAAAAGAAACAGAAAAAGCGACAGCUUUACACAAUCCAAAUAGUUACAUGCCCAAGCGCCCAUAACUAGCUGCAGAAAGUAGGCUUCAAUCAAGCAAGGGUGCAUUGGGAGGGAGAUAGAGAAGCUUUAACAAAUCAAUUAACAACAAUGAGAGAAUGAGAGAGAAAGAGAGAGAGGAUUAUUUAUCAUCAUUGAUAUAUCACAAAAAUAUGAAAUUCUGCAUGUUUUAGUUUUGCCUAGUAUGCCAGCCUAAAAUAUAGAAAAAAUAUAUCAGAUCUGCCUAAAUUUUUAUAAAUUGUCAUUACCUGUACAAUGCUGUUACAAGAGCAUGCAAACCCAGCCCUAGCAGGACCCAUUGCUGUCAGCACUGCUCCAUCAACUAUACUAAUUCAUUCAAGCUUAGAAUUAGAAUGCCU
RNAcentral lists this long non-coding RNA (655 nucleotides) under Gossypium barbadense (sea-island cotton). RNAcentral's name for it is "long non-coding RNA (GBAR_LNC018833)". Lineage: Eukaryota; Viridiplantae; Streptophyta; Magnoliopsida; Malvales; Malvaceae. The record is from RNAcentral.